This 3080-nucleotide unclassified non-coding RNA is filed under the name Mizuhopecten yessoensis (Yesso scallop). Its description in RNAcentral is "transmembrane protein 231-like, transcript variant X1". Lineage: Eukaryota; Metazoa; Mollusca; Bivalvia; Pectinida; Pectinidae. The record is from RNAcentral.
GACAAGCAUACUAUUCCGCCCGGUACCACAUUGUUUGAAAAUGGCGGUCUACGAGGUAUUCGCUCACCCAGAGCUGAGGCGGUACAAGACUCAUCUGUGUACGAAGGCCACCCUUUUGAUGUUUGUGGUUUUAUUUGUAACAUUUAUUCCACCACUGUUCGUCGUUUACAGAAGUUACGGAUUCUGGAUCAAGGAGGAUUACUACAGGGAAACUCCUCGUGUUUUAUUCAAGAAGGAACUGAUCCUAACCCUUGAGUUGGCAAAUCCUUCCAAUGCUGGUUUGAGUUACUUGACUUAUUCUACCUUCCAGAGAUACAAUGAAUUACAACAACAGAACCUCAGGGUUCCUGUCAUACAGUCCAGAGAAGAUGACGCCAAUGGAGAUGGGAAGAAUGACGGUCUUGUCAUGAAGAUAGAGAUGCCACUGUUGGAUACAGAAGCUGUGACAGGCAUCAAACUUCUCCUCUUCUUUGACUACAGACUGGAGAGGUUUUCCUCAUUUGGAAUGGAGUCCAUGUCAUACAUAAACCAUGAUUCUGUAAAACCUGGGGCCAUGUAUGAAGUGUUUGGUGAUCUACGUAUCAAACAGAAGCAAGCACUUGAUCACAAAGGAUUAGAUACCAGGUUUAAUUCCUCCAUUGUGGACUCUACUAGUGCAUAUGCUGAGGCCUACCAGUUCUCCACGAUCUUUGGUAACUACGCUCAGAGAAAUGUGACCACUGUCCUGAAUGCUCCCUAUAGUGUUUGGACGUCCGGACGAGGUGCUGGUCAGCCAUUUGUCUUUAACAGCAACAUCUUCUACACUGAGGAUGUCUUCUUAUACACACCAGGUUUCUGGUACAUGAUCAAGUGGGGAUGGGUCCAGUAUGUAUCCGUACUGUUGCUGUUCCUCUUCGUCUUCGACCGCAUCAAAAUCUUCAUCUUCCAGAACCAGCUAGUGAAUACCAUUGUGGAGAAACCAUGGAAGACAGACAAGUUUUCCUGAUAUAUACCACAGCUUUAGAUAUUUAACUAAUUACAUCAGAGCUCAUAUUAGGUUAGUGAAAUUAAAAUUCAGUGAGGACUAUUCAUUUGACAAUGAAAUUGUGAAUAGAAUUAAACUGUAAGUCAUGUGGAUGUCAUGGUUGCUUAGACCAUAUCAGGAGUUUGUGAGUUAUUUAUAUCAAUUGAAAAAAAAGAACUUGACAAAUCAUGUAUUGUGAUUAUCUUUAUAUGCAUACCUUUACCUAUAUUGAUGUUAUGGAAACCAUAUCAAACUUGUGUAUAAUUGAAUUUCAAUACACAAUGCAGAUAAUACUUUAUUGAAAAAAAUAUUCCAAUUCAAUUCCUCGAGAAAUAUUUGAUGUGAUAGAUUUACAUACAUGUAUCACUGGAAUUUAUCUUUAUGUGAGGACCAUCCUUCCAGUAACUUUGUUAUCUCGUGAUAUUUUUUUGCGUUAUAUGAUCUCAUGUAGGAUCAAACAAUCUGAUUAAAAUCAUCUGUUACAUGGCGCCAUUGACUUUGUACUUGUUCAGGCAUAGUUUGAAGUUAACGGAUCCAUGUAACAGAUGAUUUUAAUCAGAUUGAGAAUCAAAGUUUUUUUAAAAUUAAUUUAACCAAGUGACUGUUUAAGGUUGUGUUUUGGGAAUGCUAUUUGAUCUGAUACGGUUGUUCACUGCAAAUAUGCUAUGGUAUAAUUAUUAGAGAUAUAUUUUCAUGUCAAGGAUUGUAGACCACAAAUUCAAAUAUUUGUAUAUAUAUUUAUUUUUAAGAAGGAAAUCAAAUGAUACAUGUAUAAUAUAUUUUUAAACAUGAUAUUCCAUUUGUAAAAUAAAACCUUCAAGAUGUACAAUCUUAGAAACAAGUUAUAAAUUCUAGACGUUGCAGUGUAAAUGGCGAUACUUUUGACCUUGUCAUCAGAAUGUGUUAUGACGUUGUCAGCAGCACAUGUUAUGACGUUGUCAGCAGCACAUAUUUUGACGUUGUCAAGAGACAUGUGUUCUGACGUUGUCAAGAGACAUGUGUUCUGACGUUGUCAGCAGCACGUGUUAUGACGUUGUCACCGGAACGUGUUUUGAUGUCACAAGACGUGUACAUCACCAGAUACCUGUUAUAACAUCAUGUCUUACAUAAGAUUUUAUUUUGAUCGCAAAAGUAAUUAAAUCAUGUAUUUAUUACAGAGAAAAAUCAGUAUUUCUUCUCAUUGAGGUAAUCCAGAUAUUUAUUUUCAGUCCUGUGAGUUUCUCAAAUGGAGUUCCUACAUUAAACUUGGUAAUAAACCUGCUUUAUAGGAUGUACAUUUUUAUCAUCACUUAGUGGAUAUCCUCCAUAAAGCAUCUUUGAACAGCUAGACCCUUGACACUGUAGGUUAUUUAUGAUUCUAUUUUCAGCAAGUAUGAUAUUUAUGAUAAAGAAGAGCUGUGUCUGUGGUGUAAACGUCACUGUUGGAGUUACAGCUUUUGUGUUAGUGUCUACUUUUGUAUGGUGUUAUACUAAUGAGGAUUGAUUUCUAUGCAUGAAUGGGUGACUUCCGUCCAAGUGAUAUUUAUUUGUGAGCUGAUGAGACCCGACCAUGGUGUAACUGUUGUGUAAAUGAUAUGUGUGUAUGUGAUGUUCAUGCUGCUUCCGGUUCUCUAAGAAAUACUUACCUUCAGAAUUGAUUGGUCAGAUUUGUAUCAUUUGAAGUCCAUAUGCUAACAAAGAGUAUUCAAAUAUCACCUUGGUUUUGCGUUAUACUAAAAAAAACAACGAGUGGUUAUCACUCUUUACUGCUUUUAUGUGACAUACAUUACAGUGUAUGGGGUAAAAACCGAGAAAACAAUUAUUUGAAUUAUUACCAACAUUUCACUCAUUCUGUUGAUGUUUACUUUUUUCUAGGCCUAUAAAUCUAUGUAUUGUCUUGUAAGAACAACUGUACUGUCAGACUUAGUAAUACAAUGUUAUACCCCAAAGAGGGUGUUAUUUAAUAUGCAAUGUACACCUGAGAGAUUGGAGCAUUGAACAUUAAGAUUGCGUCUGUUUUUAGUGAAAGUGUAAAGUCUCAUCGUAGAAAUUAUCAUGUAUUUUAAUAUAAUUUGUAAUAAAAUCGUAGAAUAUUAAA